RNAcentral lists this ribosomal RNA (253 nucleotides) under uncultured bacterium. RNAcentral's name for it is "partial 16S ribosomal RNA". It matches the Rfam family "Bacterial small subunit ribosomal RNA", at positions 524 to 776 of the family's 1533-position model. The record is from RNAcentral.
UACGGGGGGGGCAAGCGUUGUUCGGAAUUACUGGGCGUAAAGGGCUCGUAGGCGGCCAACUAAGUCAGACGUGAAAUCCCUCGGCUUAACCGGGGAACUGCGUCUGAUACUGGAUGGCUGGAGGUUGGGAGAGGGAUGCGGAAUUCCAGGUGUAGCGGUGAAAUGCGUAGAUAUCUGGAGGAACACCGGUGGCGAAGGCGGCAUCCUGGACCAAUUCUGACGCUGAGGAGCGAAAGCUAGGGGAGCAAACGGG